Molecule: small RNA, 229 nt
Filed under: Chinchilla lanigera (long-tailed chinchilla)
Lineage: Eukaryota; Metazoa; Chordata; Mammalia; Rodentia; Chinchillidae
Description: 7SK RNA (ENSCLAG00000021733.1)
Rfam family: 7SK RNA
About the family: 7SK was discovered as an abundant small nuclear RNA in the mid-70s but a possible function has only recently been suggested.
Source: RNAcentral
GGGUUGAUUCAGCUGAUCUGGCUGGCUAGGCAGGUGUCCCCUUCCUUCCUCAAUCCUCCAUGUGCGUCCCUCCAUUAGCUUCACACUCGGUCAAAAAGGAGACCACCCCGGAUAGAGGAGAAUACUUUCUUGCUCAACGGUAUAGGAGUAGCUGCGCUCCCUGACUAGAACCUCCAAACAACCUCUCAGUUUCUCAAAACUGAGGUGAUCAUCCUUUAACCUCCAGCCU